Molecule: ribosomal RNA, 774 nt
Filed under: uncultured Neocallimastigales
Lineage: Eukaryota; Fungi; Neocallimastigomycota; Neocallimastigomycetes; Neocallimastigales
Description: partial large subunit ribosomal RNA
Rfam family: Eukaryotic large subunit ribosomal RNA
Source: RNAcentral
UAUGUGAUCGUCUCUCGCAUAUCAAUAAGCGGAGGAAAAGAAACUAACAAGGAUUCCCCUAGUAACGGCGAGUGAAGCGGGAAGAGCUCAAAUUUGAAAUCUUAAAGGGUUUCCCUUUACGAAUUGUAGUUUAAAGAAGUGUUUUCUGUUGAGGUUUUGGUAAAAGUUCUUUGGAAUAGGACAUCAUAGAGGGUGAGAAUCCCGUAUUUGACCUUUACUUUCAACUUCGUGAUACACUUUCAAAGAGUCGGAUUGUUUGGGAAUGCAGUCCAAAAUGGGUGGUAAGUUUCAUCUAAAGCUAAAUAUUGGCGAGAGACCGAUAGCGAACAAGUACCGUGAGGGAAAGAUGAAAAGAACUUUGAAAAGAGAGUUAAACAGUACGUGAAAUUGUCAAAAGGGAAGCGUUUGACACCAGUGUUGUUUUUCUGAAAAUCAAUUAAAGAACUGUUUAUGCUAAGUUGUUUAGACUUUAUCUGCUAACUGUUUAGUUUUGAGCUUUUCUUUAAUGCACUUUUCAGUUAACAAGUCAACAUCAAUUUCUUUUGCUGUAAAAAAGCUUGAGGAAGGUGGCUUGAGAUUCGUCUUAAGUGUUUAUAGCCUCUUGCCUAUGCAGUCGGAGAGAUUGAGGUCUGCAGCGUAGAUCCUUCGGGGCUAAAUGCAUUUGUGCUAAGUUAUAGCAUUUUAUAGACAACUCGUUGACUAUGAUUUGUCUUGUAGCUUACUCGCUUAUGUUAUUUUACCUACGCUUAGGAUGUUGAUCUACAGAGCGAGAGU